AAGUAUCUAAUUUGUAGUUAGGGAGUUUUUAGCGUUACAUCCAACACCCACUCUCGCUAAAAUCCCUAAGUCCCAUUCUGUGACACAAUUUUGAGAACAACCCAUUUGCAAUAUAUGCAUCUGGGAUGAAAAUUAUCAUUGGUGAGCUGAAACCUAGAGAAUCUUCUGGGGUAGAUGGCAUAAGUACCGAGAUCUUAAACUAGUCACAAGUCUUCAAAGAAAGUGUAGUGGCUGUUUAUAGAAAAAGAGACAAAAACAAGAUGACCAACAACUAAUACAACCUACUUUCUGAGAAAAAAUUUGGGUUGACAAAGAAAAAAAAAUCAAUACAUGCUGCUUUACUGCCUGUUGAAUCCAAUUAUGAAGAAUAUAAAAUAUGUUUAA
Long non-coding RNA from Leptinotarsa decemlineata (Colorado potato beetle), 384 nucleotides. Lineage: Eukaryota; Metazoa; Arthropoda; Insecta; Coleoptera; Chrysomelidae. The record is from RefSeq and is a predicted model, not a curated record.